GAAAUGCGAUAAGUAAUGUGAAUUGCAGAAUUCCGUGAAUCAUCAAAUCUUUGAACGCACAUUGCACUCAUUGGUAUUCCGAUGAGUACGCCUGUUUGAGAAUCAGUUUAAUCUCACCACCUAGGUGGUGGACUUGGGACUUUUUGCUAACCGCAAGAGACCUUAAUGUCAUUUGUGGCCUUGAUGAAGAAACACUCAACCAGAAGGCAUGAUUAAUGAACCUAGUUCUUUAGUGCUGACAUGGCUGUUUGCGCCUUUUUCAUUGGAAACAGAUAUUAAACACGAGGGGAAACCCUUAAGACUUGAUCUCAAAUCAGGCGAGACUACCCGCUGAACUUAA
Molecule: unclassified non-coding RNA, 340 nt
Filed under: uncultured Acaulospora
Lineage: Eukaryota; Fungi; Glomeromycota; Glomeromycetes; Diversisporales; Acaulosporaceae
Description: sequence contains ITS1
Rfam family: 5.8S ribosomal RNA (bases 1-105)
Source: RNAcentral